UGACAAGAUAACAGCGUGAAACCAUCAAAACUUAUAGAUAAGUUUGAGACGUAUCACGUGGUCGGGGCAGCCAGACCCGGCGGGGCUGGACGGCGGCGAUGGGCCAAGGCAGCAACGGUGGGUAGCAGCAAGAGCUCGCGGCCAUGGGAGGAGUUGCAGCUCGGCGGCUUCGGGCGGAUGCAGACGACGAGGUGCUCGGGGACGGGCUGCUGCAAUUGGCUGGGGCGGCGACGACCUGAACGACGAUGGGGUCGGCUCGUCUCGGACGACGUGGCAGCGGUGCAGCACUGCGCGGGGCAGAGCACGCGUGAGGAGGCAAGGCGGGGAACGGGGUGGAGCAGGGAGAUCACCUCCUCCGAACCAGAUCGAGGCAGCGAUCGGCUCGGGUGCUGGCUGGAUGGAUGCAGAGCAUCGAUUGCUUGGCAGGGCCACGAGGAGGGUGUUUGGGUCAGCUGGGUAUCUGAGAGGAUCCCGAGAUGGGUUAUGUGGCUGGUGGCAGCUGGGAGGAGUGGAUCGAGGUAGGUCUAGGGUUAGGGUAGGCUUGAUCCAGAAUCUCAUAUACAUAGCCACUAAUUUCUACAUGGUUCUAAUUAGAGCCCUCCGAUCUAAAUCGAAAAACCACUUAAAAAUAGGCUAGGUUGGUCCUAUUGAAAAACCGAUGACGGUUUGCGGUAAAAUGGGGUUGCUCCGGAUCCAACGGUCAUGACCGCCGAGUUCAGGUUCCGGGAGGUUUUGGGCUAGGUUGCGCGCAGGUCGGUGCAGUAUGCAGCGGGGCUAGGUGAAGAUGAGAGGGAAAAUGGGCAACCCGGCGACACAGUUUAAAACAACAAAAGACGUCCGGCGAUGGGCAGCUAUAGUGUCGCUGUAGUUUUAAUGGUUGGGGUAUCAAACGAACUCCGAUCGCGAUGAAAUUUGGCAGGUGGCCUACCUACAUUAAAAGAAGACCGCACACCAAGUUUCAACCCAAUCCGAGAAUUAUUUGUACAAUCUUUUUAACGAUGUUGCAGGCGCGUGCGUGUGUGGUUGGUCUCAAAACGGUCCACGACAAAAACGGAGGGAACCGGCAACUAAUAACGGAUAUAAGUUUUCCAACUGGCGGCAACAUAGUGCUGAUGCAAUACAGAUGAUGCGAAUGAUGCGAUGAUGAAUGCGACAAACAAAUAAAUCGCACGAUGACAGUGGAAUAAAAGGGGAAUCUUCUGGAGCAUCGGUCUCGGGCUGUUACAACAAUCUAGGCUCCGGGCUUCCCGCCAGUCGCUUUCUGCGGCAGUUCCUAGAGUUCUACGGCCUCCAGAUCCAUCAUCUCAGACCAAACUUGAUCCAGUACAUCGCUUUCCUCGCGACGCUAUGCGAAGGUUACUUCGGCUUUGGCCUUUCUCUUCUCCCUUUCCCGUCUUCUUUCUCUUCCACGUCCAGAAGAAUGGCGAUGUGCCCUAAGCCUAUGGGGGUGCGGUGUUGUACUCCCGGUGGAACACUUCUUCCCACGCAUGAAGCAUCGGGGAGGGGCACGAUUGGAUCAAACUUCCAUCGUUCGUAGAUGCACCGCCGACUGGCUCCAACUAGCUCCUCGAGCCACGCAGAAAGGAAAUCACCGGGAUCCUCAGUUGGCGACAGCAGCUCAAGGCCUCGGAGGGGCUGAAGCCCGCGGAUUUGGUAGCAGCCUUCAUCUCAUGUUCUGCAUUGCCACUCCAGGAGCAACUGCACCGCAUUUGCGACAUGGUUUCAAUAAGUAUCCAUGCCGGCUGCCAAGUAUCGACGGGGUGCCGGUAAGAUAGCCGCCAGCUAAACACCGUCACCGACUUCAAGUUUCGUGUGGACGACUGGUGAUUGGACAAGGAGCCGUUCUACCACAACUUUCCCAUGUUGGGGGUAAGUUUCAACACUCUUGCCUUGUUUUAAUUUUCUGACAUGACGACUGACGCACGGUGGGCCGCUCCUUUCAGCUUUUCAGCCGACAACUAACGUCGGAUGGCCCAAACCUGCAGAAUCAUGCGACCGACCACAUUGAUUAUGAGAUGGACGGAGACGACUCUGAUGCCUCCGGGGAUCAAAAGUGUCGGAGGAGAAGGAGGAGGACGAGGGGGAGGCACCGGCCAGCACCACUGCCCGUGGGUCUAGGCCAGCCGGUGAGUCUUGACCCGAUGUGAUCUUGAAGGAUUGCAUGAAUGACGAUGAUGAUGUAGUACAUAUUGUGGAUGCACCGCCUGUCAUAGUGGAGUCACCGCAACGACAUGGCGAGGACCUUCCGGCUAGGCGCCAGCCAUCCUGCUGGCACACAAUGGAGGAACGGUAGAGGGAUAAGCGACCGAUCAAGGGGUCGUCAAUCAACCGAGCCGCCAAGAAGGCACGAUCUGUCGGGCUGUCGUUGGGGCAGAGGUUCCCGAGGCAUAGCAGGCGUCCGCUCCCCCUCGUGUGUGGGUAAGUGUUUUUCGUGUUUGAGCUCGUGCUCUUCUCUUUCUAUUUCUGGCUUGCAGUGUUUUGAGCUUGUGCUCAUUUCUUUUCCCUUUCUGUGGCAAUGAGGCCAUCGAUUUUCCGCCGCUAGCCUCGUGGAGCCUGGUCGACGAGGUGGCCUCGAAGUUGGUCACUGAGCAUGCCACGACGGCGCGGCUCAACAAGGAGCACACCACCCAGGUUCAGUUGGCCAAGGUGGCUGCUGUAGCAGCCACCCAGAGCGACCCCACGGCUAAGGUGGGAAGCGACGCAAUGAUGCGGGCGGCCCCCGAGGCUUGUGCCCCGUCGACUUCGUCAGCUCACAUGGAGCAGCGUCAGGAGCCGACCCCGGAGUAGGCCCUAGAGACGGAGGCGUUGCAGGCUAUGAAGCCAGCGGUGGUGGAGGAGUAGGGGUUGUUGAGCCCGACGAUGGAGCUGCCAAGCUGGUGUGAGCGUGGGGCCAAAGACGGGGACGACCGGGCCAUGGUCAUUUCAUCGGCACAACCAAGUCCGGACGCAUCGGGGGCGUCCGGCAGCGGGGCCUGCCGGACGGGUCGGUCGAUGUCUGCCGUGCCGGAGUCCUAGGGAAAGCUGAAUCAUGCACCGGGGGCAGCCGGGGAGACCGUGCCGUUUUGGGAGCAGGCUAUCGUGCCAACCGGUGCGGUAUCAUCAGGGGUUGGCCUCCUUCGCACAUUCAGCGGUGAGCGACUUCCAGCUGGUGGAGUAGGCCCUCCAUGUAGGCGACGCAAAAUUUUGUUUUCCGUUUCUUUGUUUUCCAACAGGUGGUGGGUGCCAGCGCACCCACUGGGUGUAGUCCAUGAGAUUCAGGCCGGCUGCGCGGCCUCAUGGCAGCCAUGCCAAAUCUUCCUUUGAAUCUUCCUAACUUCUCCGUUGAUUCCUUCGCAGCGUGACACCGCGAAUCAUGAUGCAUUUUUAAAAGAGGCUGCCGCGCUGUGUUGUUUCAGCAAGAAUGCCUACUUCAAGGAAGGAGCUCAAGGCCUGCAUGGCCGAGCUACAAAAAGCUCGAGUACAUCUUCGGGUGGUGGGAAUGCGCCAGUGCACCCACCAGGUGCAUUUCCCGAGAUUCGGGCUAGAGGGGGCCAUCCCCGAGGCCAAGCCGGGAAGCUGCACCACGCGCUCGUCGACAUCCGAGGGAAGUGUGAUGAGGUUACCGAGGAUCUCAACCUGUCGGGGAAGGAGCUUGAGGCCGAGCGGGCGGCAAGGGAGCGCAGCUGAAGGCCGCCCACAUGGCAGAGUUUGAGCGUUCACCGGGGUACUCCAGAAGGAGGCGAUGGAGAAGGAGGAUGCGUCAAGGGCGUUGCUGCAAGUAGGCAGGAGGCAGAGACCCUUCUUGCCGAGGUGGCUCGGCUCAGAGAGGAGCACCGCCGGGCGGAGGCGGUCAAGGCGAAGGAGGAGCGGGAGGCGGUCGACAUGCUCAACCUCUUCCACGAGGUAGAAGAGGCUUUGUCGAGUGAAUGUCUUGGCUUUUUCUUGGUUGCGUUAGGGCGACAGCCGGUGCGAGCCGGCAUCCGGUGCCGGCCUUUACCUUUCUUGUCUUGCGUCUUAAUCUUUUUGGUGGUCCAGCUCAUUUCCUAGAGUCUCUGCCGUGGGUGGAGCGAGCCGUUGCAGAGCGUCGAGAGAAACUACAUCGGGAUGGGGGCAAGGUGGAGGGGAGCACUGGCUUGGUGAUAGAGGAGGUGACCCUUGCGUGCAAGGUCUGGUUGACCCACAUGCAGGAGGUCCUUGGGCGGAACAGGACGACAGACGAGGUCCUCAUCAAAGCUCUCUUGUCUUAUCGUGCGACGGAGAUUCCCAAGGCCACGUGGCCAGGUGGCUCGAUAAUGCCGUUGGGUGCUUGGAUGCGUGGAUGGCAUCUGCGGUGCGGAGCAACGCCCGAAUUGCUCUAUGCUUUGCCCUCUCCUGGUACACAGGCAGCAGCCUGGCCCAGCUGGCCAACAUGCGGGCAGAGGCCGGAGUGACUUGGCACGAGGCAACGAGGCGAUCAUCCUCCGGGCCAACAAGCUCGCCAGCUAUGCGUCGCUGGAAGUGUACUUUCCAGAUCCGAGGGAGGACGGCACACCCAUCCCAAAGGAAUUGAUUGGUGUCCCGCUCGGUUGCGGCUAUGAGGAGGUUGGAUCCAGCUCGGGGAGCAUGCCACUGACGAUGUGGUGGGCGAGGUGGACGCCACACGGGGACGCGUCCUUUGUGGGAACGGGAGAACCACCGGCUGACGACGUGGAAGUGAGCCAGAAGAUUCCGCUGGCUGGAGAUGCGUAGGCGAUCCAGAAGACUCCAGCGGCUGGUGACUUGGCCGCGGGCUAGAUGCUCGCUCCAUGUGCUCUGCUCCCUUUGACUUUUUUCAUGUCGGCAGUACAUCCAGGUUAUGGUCUAUGGUCGGGCGAGGAGUGGGCUGUGGAAGGGCAGGGGUAUGGUACUUUAGAUUUUUGCAAGUUUGGAUUGAAACAGACCACUUAGCGCGGCGGGACCCGACCCGCCCCUUGUGGUUUUUCCUGUCCACCCUGCCCCUUUGCUUUUGCUCCCGCCGGCAAGAUAGCCAGGUUGUGGUCUUUAGCCAGGUAAGGGUUAGGCCGUGGGUGAGGGGGUAUAGUACUUAGCUGGUCCGGGGAGGGUUUGUGUGGGUCAGCCAGUCCCCGAGCCAGCUAGGCCGGUCCGGGGGCGGCCAGUAAAAAGAUAAUAACUUUUCCACAAAUAU
Hordeum vulgare subsp. vulgare (domesticated barley) is the source of this 5143-nucleotide long non-coding RNA. RefSeq lists it as uncharacterized. The transcript is spliced from 2 exons. NCBI's taxonomy places the organism in Eukaryota, Viridiplantae, Streptophyta, Magnoliopsida, Poales, Poaceae. The record is from RefSeq and is a predicted model, not a curated record.